This 372-nucleotide ribosomal RNA is filed under the name Triticum aestivum (bread wheat). Its description in RNAcentral is "partial small subunit ribosomal RNA". The record is from RNAcentral. Lineage: Eukaryota; Viridiplantae; Streptophyta; Magnoliopsida; Poales; Poaceae.
AUGAAUUAUUGUUGUUGUGGGUGGACGGGACCAUGGAAAAUAUCAGCAAGACGUGGGCCGAUGGAUCGUGGGAUGAGCUCACGUAAAACUGCAGAAAACUCGGCAAGAAGCCUCGUAAUUUUGCGCGAGUCCAGAGACUCCCAUACUAACCCGUUAUCACCUGAAAUUUUCCCCGGGACCGUGCAUGGCAACGCUCGUCCUCGUCUUGAGCUUGUUAUCAAACAGGCACUGAAAGUUGACAAGGCAGGUGAGCUUGUGUUGGCACAUCUUCUAUGCCUUCCCGAACAACAAAUUCAAGUGUUGGGUUUGCCGAAGUUCAGAGAAACGAUGGAACGAUGGCUUGGUAUUUAUGGUAUGAAAUGCGAAGAUUGA